Molecule: ribosomal RNA, 419 nt
Filed under: uncultured bacterium
Lineage: Bacteria
Description: bacterial SSU rRNA
Rfam family: Bacterial small subunit ribosomal RNA
Source: RNAcentral
GGAAUAUUGGUCAAUGGGGGCAACCCUGAACCAGCCAUGCCGCGUGCAGGAAGACGGCCUUCUGGGUUGUAAACUGCUUUUGUCAGGGAAUAAAACGCCCAUGCGUGGGAGAUUGAAGGUACCUGACGAAUAAGCCACGGCUAACUACGUGCCAGCAGCCGCGGUAAUACGUAGGUGGCGAGCGUUGUCCGGAUUUAUUGGGUUUAAAGGGUGCGUAGGCGGCCUUGUAAGUCAGUUCUGAAAUAUCCCGGCUUAACCGGGAGGGUGGGAUUGAUACUGCUUGGCUUGAGUGAAGUCGAGGUAGGCGGAAUUGACGGUGUAGCGGUGAAAUGCUUAGAUAUCGUCAAGAACACCGAUAGCGUAGGCAGCUUACUAGACUUUAACUGACGCUGAGGCACGAAAGUGUGGGGAUCAAACAG